UGGGGAAUAUUGGACAAUGGGCGCAAGCCUGAUCCAGCAAUACCGCGUGUGUGAAGAAGGCCUGCGGGUUGUAAAGCACUUUCAGUGGGGAAGAAGAGGCCUUUUCUAAUAAAGAAGGCGGAUGACAUUACCCACAGAAGAAGCACCGGCUAACUCUGUGCCAGCAGCCGCGGUAAUACAGAGGGUGCGAGCGUUAAUCGGAAUUACUGGGCGUAAAGGGUGCGUAGGUGGUCUGUCAAGUCAGAUGUGAAAACCCUGGGCUUAACCUGGGAACGGCAUUUGAAACUAGCAGACUCGAGUGCAGGAGAGGGAAGUGGAAUUUCCGGUGUAGCGGUGAAAUGCGUAGAUAUCGGAAGGAACACCAGUGGCGAGGCGACUUCCUGGCCUGCAACUGACACUGAGGCACGAAAGCGUGGGGAGCAAACAGGAUUAGAUACCCUGGUAGUCCACGCCGUAACGAUGAGAACUAGAUGGU
RNAcentral lists this ribosomal RNA (475 nucleotides) under uncultured Pseudomonadota bacterium. Its description in RNAcentral is "bacterial SSU rRNA". It matches the Rfam family "Bacterial small subunit ribosomal RNA", at positions 355 to 824 of the family's 1533-position model. The record is from RNAcentral. Lineage: Bacteria; Pseudomonadati; Pseudomonadota.